Molecule: unclassified non-coding RNA, 999 nt
Filed under: Hevea brasiliensis (rubber tree)
Lineage: Eukaryota; Viridiplantae; Streptophyta; Magnoliopsida; Malpighiales; Euphorbiaceae
Source: RNAcentral
AUUCUGUGCUAUCUAAUCGCUUGGAUUUCUCUCGAUCAAAAGAUCGUCCAGAUUGUUUGAAUAUGGAUAGCUGGAAUUAGGGUGCUAGAGCAUGUGAAGUGCCGGCUGGAAAAGGGAAAAGGAAGUGUAUAAAUAUAGACAGCAUUAAUUCAGGAGAAAGCAUGCUUUUGGAAUCUGAAAUUUUCUUUGGUUAAGAGAGGCAGAGUAUUAUCUGCAUGGGGCUGAGUUCUUGGGGUUGUCUAUCAGCCUUUUUCUUGUUCAUUUCUUUGUUCUUAGUAUUGAUUGUAUUUGAGAGGAAGAAGAGUACUGUAUUUGUUGAAUCUGAGCUAAGCUUUAUUAUUGAAUCAAUAUCAAUGACAUUGCCUAUUUACAAUUUUCUUUUCAAUCUCUAUUACUCUAUUCCUUGUCUAUUACAGAGACAGAGAGAAGGAAAAAUCUUUGGCAUUGACUAGCGGAAUCUGGAGUUUACUAAUAGAUUGGACUAUUGUUGAGCAAUUUUAAAAGAAUUAACACUUGAUUUUAAAAAAUUUUACUUUUGAUUGUAAAAGCAAUUUUACUUUUAGAACUUCAAGCAUUGUUAUCAUAUCAAUAAAUUGGUAUGAAUUGAUUCAGCAAAAACCGAGGGAAAAUAAACAAGCAAUACCAAAGAAUAGUACCUUUCUUAACAUUGUUUAUGGCUCAAAGCUAAUAUGCUAAGCAAGAAAGUAUGACCUGCUGAAAAAACAUCUUUAUGACAAUAACUCAAUAAGUACUAGCAGGCAAUAUGGUACAGUAUAAGAUGUUCAAAAGGACAAAUUAUCACGAUGAACUGAUAAAUGCUAAAGAAAAUACCUGAAAUCGUCAAUUAGAAUAAUUAUUUCAAGUGCCAACAACGGAAUAAAGACAACCUUCAGGUUAACAACUACAACACGAUGAACUUGUACGAAGAGAAAUGGCCUAGCAGAAACUGAGAGAACCGAUGGAAUGAGGAAAGGGAAGAGAGUUGGGUACCCAAAGUUA